Long non-coding RNA from Varroa destructor (honeybee mite), 638 nucleotides. RefSeq lists it as uncharacterized. The record is from RefSeq and is a predicted model, not a curated record. Lineage: Eukaryota; Metazoa; Arthropoda; Arachnida; Mesostigmata; Varroidae.
CGAAUGCUCUGCCACGGCUAUAUGUAGCGACAUAACAAACGGUGAGCGACGAUGCUGGUUGGUAAGUGACGUUUACUGUGCAUCAGCUGGCGAGCCCGGGUCCAGGCUUGAUGGUGGCCACGCUCCAAAAGAACAGUCAGGCUGCUUUGUUGUUGAAGGAUGCCAGCACAUUUUUGCUAUGGAAAACUACGCUGUAAUAUUGCGAGCCGCGGUGUCUCCGGCCGGUCUUCUGGUGAUCUCUACCACAAAUGCCAUUUGCGCUUCAGACUACCCACCGGCUGACGUUUCGUUUCCUUUAAAAGAGGGCAGUCUGGCUGAGGAUCCGGGAGUAUGUUCGCAAUUGAACAUUGGUCAGUGAACGAAAUUAAGCCAUGAGUACCGUUUGGCUUAGGCACUUGCAGCAUUGCCAACAUACCCGUUCGCAAGGAAUUAAUGCGCAUAAUAACGAUUGUCCUACCGUGAUUUUUUCACUACUCGGACUGGCUUAGCUGGCGUCCGACCUUCUUCUCGACCAUCCUCCGACGACUUCUGUGACUGCAAUAGAAAGACCACGUGUACUGCAACUCCUUUACCAACAAACACCUCGACCUCACAGUGCGAUCAGACGAUAAAUUCACGCCCGGUCGUCUGUCGCUUGA